RNAcentral lists this ribosomal RNA (497 nucleotides) under uncultured bacterium. RNAcentral describes it as "partial 16S ribosomal RNA". It matches the Rfam family "Bacterial small subunit ribosomal RNA", at positions 28 to 507 of the family's 1533-position model. The record is from RNAcentral.
GACGAACGCUGGCGGCGUGCCUAAUACAUGCAAGUUGAGCGCUGAAGGUUGGUACUUGUACCAACUGGAUGAGCAGCGAACGGGUGAGUAACGCGUGGGGAAUCUGCCUUUGAGCGGGGGACAACAUUUGGAAACGAAUGCUAAUACCGCAUAAAAACUUUAAACACAAGUUUUAAGUUUGAAAGAUGCAAUUGCAUCACUCAAAGAUGAUCCCGCGUUGUAUUAGCUAGUUGGUGAGGUAAAGGCUCACCAAGGCGAUGAUACAUAGCCGACCUGAGAGGGUGGUCGGCCACAUUGGGAAUGCGACACGGCCCAAACUCCUACGGGAGGCAGCAGUAGGGAAUCUUCGGCAAUGGACGAAAGUCUGACCGAGCAACGCCGCGUGAGUGAAGAAGGUUUUCGGAUCGUAGAACUCUGUUGGUAGAGAAGAACGUUGGUGAGAGUGGAAAGCUCAUCAAGUGACGGUAACUACCCAGAAAGGGACGGCUAACUACGUG